UGUAUCAAGUAUUCAUAGAAAUGCAAGAAAGAAUUCUAUGUGACUUGCUGUCAAGAAAUUGAAUGAAAGAUGUCCAUUGUAAUUUCCAUGCAUAUAUUUAGAGUUGGGCUCUUCUGUGAUAACCAUUUCCUGGCAAUCACAGUAGAACAG
Long non-coding RNA from Mobula hypostoma (lesser devil ray), 150 nucleotides. RefSeq lists it as uncharacterized. The record is from RefSeq and is a predicted model, not a curated record. NCBI's taxonomy places the organism in Eukaryota, Metazoa, Chordata, Chondrichthyes, Myliobatiformes, Myliobatidae. The transcript is spliced from 3 exons.